CGGUAAUACGUAGGGUGCAAGCGUUAAUCGGAAUUACUGGGCGUAAAGCGUGCGCAGGCGGUUUUGUAAGACAGUCGUGAAAUCCCCGGGCUCAACCUGGGAAUUGCGAUUGUGACUGCAAAGCUGGAGUGCGGCAGAGGGGGAUGGAAUUCCGCGUGUAGCAGUGAAAUGCGUAGAUAUGCGGAGGAACACCGAUGGCGAAGGCAAUCCCCUGGGCCUGCACUGACGCUCAUGCACGAAAGCGUGGGGAGCAAACAGGAUUAGAUACCCUGGUAGUCCACGCCCUAAACGAUGUCAACUGGUUGUUGGGUCUCUUCUGACUCAGUAACGAAGCUAACGCGUGAAGUUGACCGCCUGGGGAGUACGGCCGCAAGGUUGAA
This 380-nucleotide ribosomal RNA is filed under the name uncultured bacterium. Its description in RNAcentral is "bacterial SSU rRNA". It matches the Rfam family "Bacterial small subunit ribosomal RNA", at positions 518 to 898 of the family's 1533-position model. The record is from RNAcentral.